UACGUAGGGGGCAAGCGUUGUCCGGAAUCAUUGGGCGUAAAGCGCGUGUAGGCGGUCCGGUCAGUCCGCUGUGAAAGUCGGGGGCUCAACCCUCGGAUGCCGGUGGAUACUGUCGGGCUUGAGUACGGAAGAGGCGAGUGGAAUUCCUGGUGUAGCGGUGAAAUGCGCAGAUAUCAGGAGGAACACCAAUUGCGAAGGCAGCUCGCUGGGACGUUACUGACGCUGAGACGCGAAAGCGUGGGGAGCAAACAGG
Molecule: ribosomal RNA, 253 nt
Filed under: uncultured bacterium
Lineage: Bacteria
Description: partial 16S ribosomal RNA
Rfam family: Bacterial small subunit ribosomal RNA
Source: RNAcentral